GUGAGGAAUAUUGGUCAAUGGGCGAGAGUCUGAACCAGCCAAGUCGCGUGAAGGAAGAAGGAUCUAUGGUUCGUAAACUUCUUUUGCAGGGGAAUAAAGUGCAGGACGUGUCCUGUUUUGUAUGUACCCUGAGAAUAAGGAUCGGCUAACUCCGUGCCAGCAGCCGCGGUAAUACGGAGGAUCCGAGCGUUAUCCGGAUUUAUUGGGUUUAAAGGGUGCGUAGGUGGUUUGAUAAGUCAGCGGUGAAAGUUUGCAGCUUAACUGUAAAAAUGCCGUUGAAACUGUCGGACUUGAGUGUAAAUGAGGUAGGCGGAAUGCGUGGUGUAGCGGUGAAAUGCAUAGAUAUCACGCAGAACUCCGAUUGCGAAGGCAGCUUACUAAGCUACAACUGACACUGAAGCACGAAAGCGUGGGGAUCAAACAGGAUUAGAAACCCUAGUAGUCC
This 445-nucleotide ribosomal RNA is filed under the name uncultured bacterium. RNAcentral's name for it is "partial 16S ribosomal RNA". It matches the Rfam family "Bacterial small subunit ribosomal RNA", at positions 354 to 796 of the family's 1533-position model. The record is from RNAcentral.